CAGGCUUAACACAUGCAAGUCGAGGGGCAGCAUGGUCUUAGCUUGCUAAGGCCGAUGGCGACCGGCGCACGGGUGAGUAACACGUAUCCAACCUGCCGUCUACUCUUGGACAGCCUUCUGAAAGGAAGAUUAAUACAAGAUGGCAUCAUGAGUCCGCAUGUUCACAUGAUUAAAGGUAUUCCGGUAGACGAUGGGGAUGCGUUCCAUUAGAUAGUAGGCGGGGUAACGGCCCACCUAGUCUUCGAUGGAUAGGGGUUCUGAGAGGAAGGUCCCCCACAUUGGAACUGAGACACGGUCCAAACUCCUACGGGAGGCAGCAGUGAGGAAUAUUGGUCAAUGGGCGAGAGCCUGAACCAGCCAAGUAGCGUGAAGGAUGACUGCCCUAUGGGUUGUAAACUUCUUUUAUAAAGGAAUAAAGUCGGGUAUGGAUACCCGUUUGCAUGUACUUUAUGAAUAAGGAUCGGCUAACUCCGUGCCAGCAGCCGCGGUAAUACGGAGGAUCCGAGCGUUAUCCGGAUUUAUUGGGUUUAAAGGGAGCGUAGAUGGAUGUUUAAGUCAGUUGUGAAAGUUUGCGGCUCAACCGUAAAAUUGCAGUUGAUACUGGAUAUCUUGAGUGCAGUUGAGGCAGGCGGAAUUCGUGGUGUAGCGGUGAAAUGCUUAGAUAUCACGAAGAACUCCGAUUGCGAAGGCAGCCUGCUAAGCUGCAACUGACAUUGAGGCUCGAAAGUGUGGGUAUCAAACAGGAUUAGAUACCCUGGUAGCCCACACGGUAAACGAUGAAUACUCGCUGUUUGCGAUAUACAGCAAGCGGCCAAGCGAAAGCGUUAAGUAUUCCACCUGGGGAGUACGCCGGCAACGGUGAAACUCAAAGGAAUUGACGGGGGCCCGCACAAGCGGAGGAACAUGUGGUUUAAUUCGAUGAUACGCGAGGAACCUUACCCGGGCUUAAAUUGCAGAUGAAUUACGGUGAAAGCCGUAAGCCGCAAGGCAUCUGUGAAGGUGCUGCAUGGUUGUCGUCAGCUCGUGCCGUGAGGUGUCGGCUUAAGUGCCAUAACGAGCGCAACCCUUGUUGUCAGUUACUAACAGGUUCCGCUGAGGACUCUGACAAGACUGCCAUCGUAAGAUGUGAGGAAGGUGGGGAUGACGUCAAAUCAGCACGGCCCUUACGUCCGGGGCUACACACGUGUUACAAUGGGGGGUACAGAGGGCCGCUACCACGCGAGUGGAUGCCAAUCCCCAAAACCUCUCUCAGUUCGGACUGGAGUCUGCAACCCGACUCCACGAAGCUGGAUUCGCUAGUAAUCGCGCAUCAGCCACGGCGCGGUGAAUACGUUCCCGGGCCUUGUACACACCGCCCGUCAAGCCAUGGGAGCCGGGGGUACCUGAAGUGCGUAACCGCGAGGAGCGCCCUAGGGUAAAACUGGUGACUGGG
Molecule: ribosomal RNA, 1432 nt
Filed under: uncultured organism
Description: 16S ribosomal RNA
Rfam family: Bacterial small subunit ribosomal RNA
Source: RNAcentral